GGCUGUCGUCAGCUCGUGUCGUGAGAUCGUUGGGUUAAGUCCCGUAACGAGCGCAACCCUUGUCCUUAGUUACCAGCACGUUAAGGUGGGCACGUCUAAGGGAGACUGCCGGUGACAAACCGGAGGAAGGUGGGGAUGACGUCAAGUCAUCAUGGCCCUUACGGCCUGGGCUACACACGUGCUACAAUGGUCGGUACAAAGGGUUGCCAAGCCGCGAGGUGGAGCUAAUCCCAUAAAACCGAUCGUAGUCCGGAUCGCAGUCUGCAACUCGACUGCGUGAAGUCGGAAUCGCUAGUAAUCGUAAAUCAGAAUGUCACGGUGAAUACGUUCCCGGGCCUU
This 339-nucleotide ribosomal RNA is filed under the name uncultured Pseudomonas sp. RNAcentral describes it as "bacterial SSU rRNA". It matches the Rfam family "Bacterial small subunit ribosomal RNA", at positions 1047 to 1382 of the family's 1533-position model. Lineage: Bacteria; Pseudomonadati; Pseudomonadota; Gammaproteobacteria; Pseudomonadales; Pseudomonadaceae. The record is from RNAcentral.